This 274-nucleotide ribosomal RNA is filed under the name uncultured bacterium. Its description in RNAcentral is "partial 16S ribosomal RNA". It matches the Rfam family "Bacterial small subunit ribosomal RNA", at positions 523 to 796 of the family's 1533-position model. The record is from RNAcentral.
AGACGGGGGGUGCUAGCGUUGUUCGGAAUUACUGGGCGUAAAGCGUACGUAGGCGGACUAAUAAGUAAGAUGUGAAAUCCCAGGGCUCAACCCUGGAACUGCAUUUUAAACUGUUAGUCUUGAGUUAUGGAGAGGUAAGUGGAAUUCCUAGUGUAGAGGUGAAAUUCGUAGAUAUUAGGAGGAACACCAGAGGCGAAGGCGGCUUACUGGACAUAUACUGACGCUGAGGUACGAAAGUGUGGGGAGCAAACGGGAUUAGAAACCCCAGUAGUCC